This 497-nucleotide ribosomal RNA is filed under the name uncultured bacterium. RNAcentral's name for it is "partial 16S ribosomal RNA". It matches the Rfam family "Bacterial small subunit ribosomal RNA", at positions 28 to 507 of the family's 1533-position model. The record is from RNAcentral.
GACGAACGCUGGCGGCGUGCCUAAUACAUGCAAGUAGAACGCUGAAGAGAGGAGCUUGCUCUUCUUGGAUGAGUUGCGAACGGGUGAGUAACGCGUAGGUAACCUGCCUGGUAGCGGGGGAUAACUAUUGGAAACGAUAGCUAAUACCGCAUAAAAUUGAUUAUUGCAUGAUAAUUAAUUGAAAGAUGCAACUGCAUCACUACCAGAUGGACCUGCGUUGUAUUCGCUAGUUGGUGAGGUAACGGCUCACCAAGGCGACGAUACAUAGCCGACCUGAGAGGGGGAUCGGCCACACUGGGACUGAGACACGGCCCAGACUCCUACGGGAGGCAGCAGUAGGGAAUCUUCGGCAAGGGGGGGAACCCUGACCGAGCAACGCCGCGUGAGUGAAGAAGGUUUUCGGAGCGUAAAGCUCUGUUGUAAGAGAAGAACGGGUGUGAGAGUGGAAAGUUCACACUGUGACGGUAUCUUACCAGAAAGGGACGGCUAACUACGUG